ACCUUGUCUUGAAAAACAUUUUUUUGUUUUAUUUAUUUAUUUUUUUUUUAAAAAAGAUUUAUUUAUUUAUUAUAUGUAAGUACACUGUAGCUGUCUUCAGACACUCUAGAAGAGGGAGUCAGAUCUUGUUACGGAUGGUUGUGAGCCACCAUGCGGUUGCUGGGAUUUGAACUCUGGACCUUUGGAAGAGCAGUCAGGUGCUCUUACCCACUGAGCCAUCUCACCAGCCCUGUUUUAUUUUUUAAAGUGUGUGUCUGCCAGUGUCACAGGGACUAGAAGAAGGCAUUGAGUCCCCUGAAGCUGGAGUUGUAAACUACCUCUCAUGGGUGCUAGGAUUUUAUUCUUAGAAGAGCAGCAAAUGAUCUAAACCACUAAGCCACCUCUCCACCCAGCCUUGGAAGAAAGAAUCUAAUUCUUAAUUCUUGUUAAAGGUCUGUAAGAUGCACCUUCCAUGUGUGAGUUAUUUAGAGAUGAAUGGGAUGCAGUUAUGCCUGCCAGGAAGGAGUUUUAGUCAGAUGGAAGGAAGUAGAUGGUUCCCAGUAGGUGUAAUGUGGAGCAGAACAUCUGAGUAGUGAGAGAGAGAUGGCGCAGAGGAACAAAUCUCCUUUCCAGACAUCUGAGGUCAGCUGAGGGCGCUCUUUGGCAAGAAGCUUCCCUUGGUUUGUUACUCUUACCACCGUGAUUACUUUUGUUUUUGAGUUAGUGCUGCCUAAAAGAGGGUGGUGCAAAGACAGUGAUGACAGAAACCUUAGUAUCUAUAGGUCACUGUGCUUUUGUUGUUGGUGUGUUUCUAAACUUUUUUUAUAUUAUUUAUUUAUUUCGUGUGUGGCUGCAUGCCAAGACAUGUGUUUGGAGGUCAGGGGAGUUAGUUCCUUUCUUCUAUCAUAUAUGUCAUGGGAAUUGAACUCAGGCCACAGUUGAGCUAUCGUGUUGGCCCCUUUGUUUUGAAAGUCUAUCAAUUGCUUUCAUUGGUUUUACAGAUGACCUUGAACUUCUAGUUCUCUGGACUUCAUAAGUGCUGAAGUUUCAGAUCUGCAACAUCUUGCCAUUUGGUGUAGUAUUGGGGGAAAAACCCAUGGCUUUGUGUGUGCUAGGCAAAUAAGUACUCUACCAACUGAGCUAUACCCCCUGCUCUUAUUUUUGUUUUUUGAAGCAAAAUAAAAGGAUGUAGUCCAACCUGGCCUUAAACUCAUGAUCGUCCUGAUUUGGCCACAUGAGGAAUUACUGGAUUGUGGCCCUCUGUGGGUCCAGAUCAUUUUUUGUUAUAGAUACUUGAUAAGGAAAAAUUGAUUUCUGGAUUUUGGUAGUGACUUUGUUAUUUAAAGAACUGUUCAAUUCCUUUAAUUUUAGAUUUGUUUAUUUUUAUUUAUGUGGAUAUUGGUGUUUUGUACCCAUGCCUUUGGGUCCCACAUGCAAGCCUUGUGCUGCAAAAGCCAGAAGAGGUUGUCAAAUUCCUGAAAUUGGAGUUACAGUAGCUUGUGAGCUGCCGUUUGGGAACUGGGAAUUAAACCCCAGUCCUCUGUAAGAGCAGCCAGGGUUCUUAACCUACUGAACCAUCUUUCCAGCCCAAUUUCUAGUUAUUUUAAUAAAAUUAGUCAAUAUUACAUGGUACUUUGUUUUCCUCACAUAUUUUUCAAGCACUGUAAGCACACAUAUUCUCUCAUGUUAUUGCUGAGGUAAGUGCUAUUUUAUCCCUGUUGAAUAGAAGGAAAAAUAUUGAAGUUAAUUAGUUUGCUUAAAGUAGACACAGUACAAUUUGAAACCAAGCAAUAUGGUUCUAGAGACUAUGCUUUAGCCAGGCUGCAAAAGAAUGCGAGCAGUGUAUGGAAAAUGAGAUUGUUACUUUUCCUUUUAAAAAUGACCUAUUGCUCUUUUUUUAGUGAUUUGUAUAUGUAGUUCUCACUGGUUUCUGACUUGAGAUUCUCUUGCUUCAGCCUCCCAAGUACUGGGAUUACAUGUGUUUAGGGAACAAGGAGUGCACCACUAAGUCAGGAGAUUUUUGGUGUUUAUGAUAGGAGGUAAAGAAUAUGCUCCCUGUCUCUUGGGUCUUGCUAGAUGGUAUACAUAAAUAACUCUACUAUAGUAGCACUUAGUAGUAGAAAUAAAAUGUCAGUAAGGGCCAGGUGACCAGACAAAGUUACAUAGUAAGACCCUGUUUC
This 2159-nucleotide long non-coding RNA is filed under the name Mus musculus (house mouse). RNAcentral describes it as "long non-coding RNA chr9:108524978-108527137". Lineage: Eukaryota; Metazoa; Chordata; Mammalia; Rodentia; Muridae. The record is from RNAcentral.